GCUGGGCAUGGUGGCACAUGCCUGUAAUCCUAGCAGCUCUGGAGGCUGAGGCAGGAGGCUCACGAGUUCAAAACCAGCCUCAGCAACAGCGAGGCACAAAGCAAUUUGGUAAGAGCCUGUCUCUA
Molecule: small RNA, 125 nt
Filed under: Marmota monax (woodchuck)
Lineage: Eukaryota; Metazoa; Chordata; Mammalia; Rodentia; Sciuridae
Source: RNAcentral